AACGAACGCUGGCGGCAUGCCUAACACAUGCAAGUCGAACGUGAUCCGGGGUUUCGGCCUCGGUGAAAGUGGCGGACGGGUGAGUAACGCGUGGGAACCUGCCCAGUGGUAGGGGAUAACCGCGGGAAACUGCGGCUAAUACCCUAUGCGCCCUGCGGGGCAAAGAUUGAUCGCCAUUGGAGGGGCCCGCGUCGGAUUAGGUAGUUGGUGGGGUAACGGCCUACCAAGCCAUCGAUCCGUAGCUGGUCUGAGAGGAUGAUCAGCCACACUGGGACUGAGACACGGCCCAGACUCCUACGGGAGGCAGCAGUGGGGAGUAUUGGACAAUGGGGGCAACCCUGAUCCAGCAAUGCCGCGUGAGUGAUGAAGGCCUUCGGGUUGUAAAGCUCUUUCGGCGGGGACGAUGAUGACGGUACCCGCAGAAGAAGCCCCGGCUAACUUCGUGC
Molecule: ribosomal RNA, 446 nt
Filed under: uncultured bacterium
Lineage: Bacteria
Description: bacterial SSU rRNA
Rfam family: Bacterial small subunit ribosomal RNA
Source: RNAcentral